AGUGAACGCUGGCGGUAGGCCUAACACAUGCAAGUCGAACGGCAGCACAGUAAGAGCUUGCUCUUACGGGUGGCGAGUGGCGGACGGGUGAGGAAUACAUCGGAAUCUACUUUUUCGUGGGGGAUAACGUAGGGAAACUUACGCUAAUACCGCAUACGACCUACGGGUGAAAGCAGGGGAUCUUCGGACCUUGCGCGAUUGAAUGAGCCGAUGUCGGAUUAGCUAGUUGGCGGGGUAAAGGCCCACCAAGGCGACGAUCCGUAGCUAGUCUGAGAGGAUGAUCAGCCACACUGGAACUGAGACACGGUCCAGACGCCUACGGGAGGCAGCAGUGGGGAAUAUUGGACAAUGGGCGCAAGCCUGAUCCAGCCAUACCGCGUGGGUGAAGAAGGCCUUCGGGUUGUAAAGCCCUUUUGUUGGGAAAGAAAAGCAGCAGGUUAAUACCCCGCUGUUCUGACGGUACCCAAAGAAUAAGCACCGGCUAACUUCGUG
This 492-nucleotide ribosomal RNA is filed under the name uncultured bacterium. RNAcentral describes it as "partial 16S ribosomal RNA". It matches the Rfam family "Bacterial small subunit ribosomal RNA", at positions 29 to 507 of the family's 1533-position model. The record is from RNAcentral.